Molecule: ribosomal RNA, 376 nt
Filed under: Dipteromimus tipuliformis
Lineage: Eukaryota; Metazoa; Arthropoda; Insecta; Ephemeroptera; Dipteromimidae
Description: partial 16S rRNA
Source: RNAcentral
GGUAACUUAGUCUUUUACUCAUCAUAAAUGGAUCACUAAUCUAUUCAUCAAUAUCACUAUUUAAGAAGAGUUUCUUAUAUCUCCCCGUCACCCCAACCAAACAACUUUAACUUAAAUAAUAGUUCUCCCCAAAUCUAUUUAUAGCCAUAAAUUGUAAAACUCUAUAGGGUCUUCUCGUCCUCCAACAUUAUUUUAGCCUUUUAACUAAAAAGUUAAAUUUUAAUUCAAUCCUUACGAGACAGUUAACACCUCGUCCAACCAUUCAUGCCAGCCUCUAAUUAAGAGACUAAUGAUUAUGCUACCUUUGCACGGUCAAAAUACCGCGGCCCUUCAAUUUUCAGUGGGCAGGCUAGACCUCCUAUCCAAUCAAGAAGCG